UCAGGUGGCUACAGCGCCGGGGUUCCACCUCUUCCCAUCCCGAACAGAGAAGUUAAGCCCGGCCACGCCGAUGGUACUGCGUAACAGUGGGAGAGUAGGUAGCCGCCGUCU
Molecule: ribosomal RNA, 111 nt
Filed under: Jilunia laotingensis
Lineage: Bacteria; Pseudomonadati; Bacteroidota; Bacteroidia; Bacteroidales; Bacteroidaceae
Source: RNAcentral